AUCAAUUUGAACAUGAUGGUAGUUCCCUGACCGUUCGGGUCGGUCAUUACAGGUAGCCGGUUCAUAGCCGGUUGUUGGGC
RNAcentral lists this transfer RNA (80 nucleotides) under Candidatus Hydrogenedentes bacterium ADurb.Bin101. RNAcentral's name for it is "tRNA-Pro". Lineage: Bacteria; Pseudomonadati; Candidatus Hydrogenedentota. The record is from RNAcentral.